RNAcentral lists this ribosomal RNA (253 nucleotides) under uncultured bacterium. RNAcentral describes it as "partial 16S ribosomal RNA". It matches the Rfam family "Bacterial small subunit ribosomal RNA", at positions 524 to 776 of the family's 1533-position model. The record is from RNAcentral.
UACGGAGGGUGCAAGCGUUAUCCGGAUUCACUGGGUUUAAAGGGUGUGUAGGCGGGCUGUUAAGUCAGUGGUGAAAUCUCCAGGCUCAACCUGGAAACUGCCAUUGAUACUAUCAGUCUUGAAUUUUGUUGAGGUAGGCGGAAUAUAUCAUGUAGCGGUGAAAUGCUUAGAUAUGAUAUAGAACACCGAUUGCGAAGGCAGCUUACUAAGCAAAUAUUGACGCUGAGGUACGAAAGCGUGGGGAUCAAAAAGG